RNAcentral lists this ribosomal RNA (100 nucleotides) under Octodon degus (degu). The record is from RNAcentral. Lineage: Eukaryota; Metazoa; Chordata; Mammalia; Rodentia; Octodontidae.
GUCUAUAGCCAUACCACCCUGAACGUGCCCGAUCUUGGAAGCUAAGCAGGGUUGGGCCUGGUUAGUACUUGGAUGGGAGACAAGCAGUCUACCACUGACU